Molecule: ribosomal RNA, 468 nt
Filed under: uncultured bacterium
Lineage: Bacteria
Description: partial 16S ribosomal RNA
Rfam family: Bacterial small subunit ribosomal RNA
Source: RNAcentral
GACGAACGCUGGCGGCGUGCUUAACACAUGCAAGUCGAACGGAAAGGCCCUGCUUUUGUGGGGUGCUCGAGUGGCGAACGGGUGAGUAACACGUGAGUAACCUGCCCUCGACUUUGGGAUAACUUCAGGAAACUGGGGCUAAUACCGGAUAGGAGCUCCUGCUGCAUGGUGGGGGUUGGAAAGUUUCGGCGGUUGGGGAUGGACUCGCGGCUUAUCAGCUUGUUGGUGGGGUAGUGGCUUACCAAGGCUUUGACGGGUAGCCGGCCUGAGAGGGUGACCGGCCACAUUGGGACUGAGAUACGGCCCAGACUCCUACGGGAGGCAGCAGUGGGGAAUAUUGCACAAUGGGCGGAAGCCUGAUGCAGCAACGCCGCGUGCGGGAUGACGACCUUCGGGUUGUAAACCGCUUUCGCCUGUGACGAAGCGUGAGUGACGGUAAUGGGUAAAGAAGCACCGGCUAACUACGUG